GGAGAAGAUGCUCCAGGGGGCUAGUGCAAAGCACAGAAUUCUGGAAGUCUGGAGACUCUGGUCCUAGUCACAAAUCUUUUACUACUAAUGAGCUGAGCAGGUAAAGAUUUUGAGUUAUCUGGUAAAACCGCAGAAACCUUAGCCAAUGGGGGAAAGUGUCAGACAAACGUCAGUCACAUUUACUAGAGGAAUGAGGACCAGCUGGAUCAGAUAAGGAUACUUACUGUCUUAACGAAGAUAAAAUUUUAUCCUUUUGGGCACACAUUUCACAGAGGUACUCUAAAGAUAUAAUGCCUUAAUCCAAACCAAAAAUACUAAAAUAUGUAAUUUAAAGCCCAUUGGUUUAAGUAAAAUGUGGUUUCCCAGAAGCCUCUGGUUGAAGAGAAGAGUCUUUCUGCCAAGGUAAACAAAAGACAUGUAUACACAGGAGGCAUAACUCCUCUUCAGCUGCGUGAGUUAAAGGGUGGAACUCACCCUCUGCCACACCACAGAUGCUACAUGAUGUUGAACUCGGCUUGAUUACACCUUUAAAAUGUCAGGUGAAGAGGUCAGGAACUGAGGGAUGGAGCAUCCAGUAUGCUACUUAAAGUAUUUCUGCUUAAAAACAACAACAUAAAAGAGUGGAUGGGACUUCCUAGGUGGCGCAGUGGGUAAGAAUCCGCCUGCCAAUGCAGGGGACACGGGUUCGAGCACUGCCCCAGGAAGCUACCGCAUGCCACGGAGCAACUAAGCCUGUGUGCCACAACUGUUGACCUGCGCUAUAGAGACCGUGAGCCACAACUGUUGAGCCCAUUUGCCGCAACUACUGAAGCCCAAGCACCUAGAACCUGUGCUCUGCAACAAGAAAGGCCACUGCAAUGAGAAGCCCACGCACCACAACGAA
This is a long non-coding RNA of Hippopotamus amphibius kiboko, 883 nucleotides long. RefSeq lists it as uncharacterized. The transcript is spliced from 3 exons. Lineage: Eukaryota; Metazoa; Chordata; Mammalia; Artiodactyla; Hippopotamidae. The record is from RefSeq and is a predicted model, not a curated record.